UACGUAGGGUGCAAGCGUUAAUCGGAAUUACUGGGCGUAAAGCGUGCGCAGGCGGUUCUGUAAGACUGUCGUGAAAUCCCCGGGCUUAACCUGGGAAUUGCGAUGGUGACUGCAAGGCUAGAGUUUGGCAGAGGGGGGUAGAAUUCCACGUGUAGCAGUGAAAUGCGUAGAGAUGUGGAGGAACACCGAUGGCGAAGGCAGCCCCCUGGGUCAAAACUGACGCUCAUGCACGAAAGCGUGGGGAGCAAACAGG
Molecule: ribosomal RNA, 253 nt
Filed under: uncultured bacterium
Lineage: Bacteria
Description: partial 16S ribosomal RNA
Rfam family: Bacterial small subunit ribosomal RNA
Source: RNAcentral